Molecule: ribosomal RNA, 253 nt
Filed under: uncultured bacterium
Lineage: Bacteria
Description: partial 16S ribosomal RNA
Rfam family: Bacterial small subunit ribosomal RNA
Source: RNAcentral
UACGGAGGGAGCUAGCGUUGUUCGGAUCUACUGGGCGUAAAGCGCACGUAGGCGGCGCAGCAAGUCAGGGGUGAAAUCCCGGAGCUCAACUCCGGAACUGCCUUUGAAACUGCAGUGCUAGAAUCCUGGAGAGGCGAGUGGAAUUCCGAGUGUAGAGGUGAAAUUCGUAGAUAUUCGGAAGAACACCAGUGGCGAAGGCGACUCGCUGGACAGGUAUUGACGCUGAGGUGCGAAAGCGUGGGGAGCAAACAGG